Molecule: long non-coding RNA, 414 nt
Organism: Grammomys surdaster
Lineage: Eukaryota; Metazoa; Chordata; Mammalia; Rodentia; Muridae
Exons: 3
Source: RefSeq, a predicted model, not a curated record
ACUCUGCUCUAGGUCACAGAGCAUUUGGUUGCAGGAGAAAGGCACGAUCCAGGCUUCAGCAGGGCCCAGGCCGGGAGGAACUGGGAUAAAAAGGAACCUCAGAAAAGCGAGUCACCCAGGGAAAGCAACAUGCUUUAUUCAGUCAUUCAGUCACUUAUUCUGUCACUCAACAAGUCUUCAGAGUAUAUCUACUGUCUGGUUACUGGGGAGACUUCAGAACUUCUAGUUUGCUGACAAGAAGAGACCCUAAGGGCACGCGGGAAGAAGAAAAGAGAAGUCAAUCUGGACAGCAUGCCUUAUUAACUCACGUUCCAGGGAUAUCAAGUGCCCCCUCCUGGCCGCGACGGGUACUGCAAGCAUGUGGCACAUGGACACAUGUUCAGGUCAAACUCCCACAGACACAUAUUAAAAAUC